This 301-nucleotide ribosomal RNA is filed under the name uncultured bacterium. RNAcentral describes it as "partial 16S ribosomal RNA". It matches the Rfam family "Bacterial small subunit ribosomal RNA", at positions 509 to 807 of the family's 1533-position model. The record is from RNAcentral.
CAGUCGCCGCGGGAAUACAGAGGGUGCGAGCGUUAAUCGGAUUUACUGGGCGUAAAGCGUGCGUAGGCGGCUUCUUAAGUCGGAUGUGAAAUCCCUGAGCUUAACUUAGGAAUUGCAUUCGAUACUGGGAAGCUAGAGUAUGGGAGAGGAUGGUAGAAUUCCAGGUGUAGCGGUGUAAUGCGUAGAGAUCUGGAGGAAUACCGAUGGCGAAGGCAGCCAUCUGGCCUAAUACUGACGCUGAGGUACGAAAGCAUGGGGAGCAAACAGGAUUAGAUACCCGUGUAGUCCCUGUCUCUUAUAC